RNAcentral lists this ribosomal RNA (459 nucleotides) under uncultured bacterium. Its description in RNAcentral is "partial 16S ribosomal RNA". It matches the Rfam family "Bacterial small subunit ribosomal RNA", at positions 338 to 795 of the family's 1533-position model. The record is from RNAcentral.
CCUACGGGUGGCAGCAGUGAGGAAUAUUGGUCAAUGGCCGAAAGGCUGAACCAGCCAAGCCGCGUGAAGGACGAAGGUGCCAAGCAUUGUAAACUUCUUUUGUCAGGGGACAAAAUCCGGCUCGAGAGCCGGACCGAGGGUACUUGAAGAAAAAGCAUCGGCUAACUCCGUGCCAGCAGCCGCGGUAAUAAGGAGGAUGCGAGCGUUAUCCGGAUUUAUUGGGUUUAAAGGGUGCGUAGGCGGUCUGUUAAGUCAGCGGUAAAAGUGCGGGGCUCAACCCCGGCGAGCCGUUGAAACUGGCUGUCUUGAGAUGUCGAGAGGUAUGCGGAAUGCGCAGUGUAGCGGUGAAAUGCUUAGAUAUUGCGCAGAACUCCGAUUGCGAAGGCAGCAUACCGGCGGCGAUCUGACGCUGAGGCACGAAAGCGUGGGUAUCGAACAGGAUUAGAUACCCUUGUAGUC